Molecule: ribosomal RNA, 492 nt
Filed under: uncultured bacterium
Lineage: Bacteria
Description: partial 16S ribosomal RNA
Rfam family: Bacterial small subunit ribosomal RNA
Source: RNAcentral
AGUGAACGCUGGCGGUAGACCUAACACAUGCAAGUCGAACGGCAGCACAGUAAGAGCUUGCUCUUACGGGUGGCGAGUGGCGGACGGGUGAGGAAUACAUCGGAAUCUACUUUUUCGUGGGGGAUAACGUAGGGAAACUUACGCUAAUACCGCAUACGACCUACGGGUGAAAGCAGGGGAUCUUCGGACCUUGCGCGAUUGAAUGAGCCGAUGUCGGAUUAGCUAGUUGGCGGGGUAAAGGCCCACCAAGGCGACGAUCCGUAGCUGGUCUGAGAGGAUGAUCAGCCACACUGGAACUGAGACACGGUCCAGACUCCUACGGGAGGCAGCAGUGGGGAAUAUUGGACAAUGGGCGCAAGCCUGAUCCAGCCAGACCGCGUGGGUGAAGAAGGCCUUCGGGUUGUAAAGCCCUUUUGUUGGGAAAGAAAAGCAGCAGGCUAAUACCCCGCUGUUCUGACGGUACCCAAAGAAUAAGCACCGGCUAACUUCGUG